RNAcentral lists this ribosomal RNA (433 nucleotides) under uncultured organism. Its description in RNAcentral is "bacterial SSU rRNA". It matches the Rfam family "Bacterial small subunit ribosomal RNA", at positions 29 to 507 of the family's 1533-position model. The record is from RNAcentral.
AACGAACGCUGGCGGCAUGCCUAACACAUGCAAGUCGAACGAGACCUUCGGGUCUAGUGGCGCACGGGUGCGUAACGCGUGGGAAUCUGCCCUCAGGUACGGAAUAACUCAGGGAAACUUGAGCUAAUACCGUAUGAUGCCGCAAGGCCAAAGAUUCAUCGCCUGAGGAUGAGCCCGCGUAGGAUUAGCUAGUUGGUGGGGUAAAAGCCUACCAAGGCGACGAUCCUUAGCUGGUCUGAGAGGAUGAUCAGCCACACUGGGACUGAGACACGGCCCAGACUCCUACGGGAGGCAGCAGUGGGGAAUAUUGGACAAUGGGCGAAAGCCUGAUCCAGCAAUGCCGCGUGAGUGAUGAAGGCCUUCGGGUUGUAAAGCUCUUUUACCCGGGAAGAUAAUGACUGUACCGGGAGAAUAAGCCCCGGCUAACUUCGUG